AUUGAACGCUGGCGACAUGCCUUACACAUGCAAGUCGAACGGCAGCACGGGUGCUUGCACCUGGUGGCGAGUGGCGAACGGGUGAGUAAUACAUCGGAACAUGUCCUGUAGUGGGGGAUAGCCCGGCGAAAGCCGGAUUAAUACCGCAUACGAUCUACGGAUGAAAGCGGGGGACCUUCGGGCCUCGCGCUAUAGGGUUGGCCGAUGGCUGAUUAGCUAGUUGGUGGGGUAAAGGCCUACCAAGGCGACGAUCAGUAGCUGGUCUGAGAGGGCGACCAGUAACACUGGGACUGAGACACGGCCCAGACUCCUACGGGAGGCAGCAGUGGGGAAUUUUGGACAAUGGGCGAAAGCCUGAUCCAGCAAUGCCGCGUGUGUGAAGAAGGCCUUCGGGUUGUAAAGCACUUUUGUCCGGAAAGAAAUCCUUGGCCCUAAUACGGUCGGGGGAUGACGGUACCGGAAGAAUAAGCACCGGCUAACUACGUG
This 486-nucleotide ribosomal RNA is filed under the name uncultured bacterium. RNAcentral describes it as "partial 16S ribosomal RNA". It matches the Rfam family "Bacterial small subunit ribosomal RNA", at positions 30 to 507 of the family's 1533-position model. The record is from RNAcentral.